RNAcentral lists this unclassified non-coding RNA (336 nucleotides) under soil metagenome. RNAcentral describes it as "partial contains 5.8S ribosomal RNA, internal transcribed spacer 2, and large subunit ribosomal RNA". The stretch from base 1 to 120 matches the Rfam family "5.8S ribosomal RNA", at positions 35 to 154 of the family's 154-position model. The record is from RNAcentral.
GAUGAAGAACGCAGCGAAAUGCGAUAAGUAAUGUGAAUUGCAGAAUUCAGUGAAUCAUCGAAUCUUUGAACGCACAUUGCGCCCGCCAGUAUUCUGGCGGGCAUGCCUGUUCGAGCGUCAUUUCAACCAUCAAGCCCCCCGGCUUGUGUUGGGGACCUGCGGCUGCCGCAGGCCCUGAAAAGCAGUGGCGGGCUCGCUGUCACACCGAGCGUAGUAGAUCUCAUCUCGCUCAGGGCGUGCUGCGGGUUCCGGCCGUUAAACCACCUUCAUAACCCAAGGUUGACCUCGGAUCAGGUAGGAAGACCCGCUGAACUUAAGCAUAUCAAUAGCGGAGGA